This 286-nucleotide long non-coding RNA is filed under the name Gossypium raimondii (Peruvian cotton). Its description in RNAcentral is "long non-coding RNA (GRAI_LNC002884)". The record is from RNAcentral. Lineage: Eukaryota; Viridiplantae; Streptophyta; Magnoliopsida; Malvales; Malvaceae.
GGUGUUACCACUCAAAUACAAUGUACAUAAACCUAUGUAUUCAUGUUGCAAAUGAUUACAACUACUAAAUUUCAAUCUUCUUAAUAAAAAAACACGAUUGUAAGCAAUGAGAAAAUUCAAAUGGUAUGCAUUGGGAAUUAAUUACAAUUAGGACUAAAAUGAUGUGCUAGUUUACAUAGUUAUCCCUAUAUAAAUUUCUCUAAUUAUUAGCUCAGAUUCGAACCCGCCAUCAAGCUCACUCUAUAUUGAUAAUAGCCCAAUACCCCACUUCUUUAGCGUAGUCCUG